This 1085-nucleotide long non-coding RNA is filed under the name Scleropages formosus (Asian bonytongue). Its description in RNAcentral is "lncRNA (ENSSFOG00015027153.1)". The record is from RNAcentral. Lineage: Eukaryota; Metazoa; Chordata; Actinopteri; Osteoglossiformes; Osteoglossidae.
GCAUCGGUCAGCUCAGCGUUCUGCUCUCCAAGGGUCCCAGGGACACACAGUUAUGGAAGUUGGUGGGUGAUCAAGGCCAGGGCUGGAGACGGGCCGCUGUGGAUGUGGGUCGCGCACCAGGGCUCUUUGGGCUCAUCUUCAAGGCCAGUCGGACCUACAGCAUCCUGGGGGACAUCGCCAUAGAUGAUGUGGCUUUCCUCAACUGCUCCCUGCCUGGUAGAGGAACUUGUCCAACUCUGUCCCCCUGUGAUUAAGGAGCAUUGUAGGGAGUUGGGAAUGAACACUGUCAGUGAUCAAGUUUCUAGGAGCCUUGCUGUUGGACCCCUCACUAAUAUACUUGUUAAACUUUUUUUCUCUGAACUACCCAUAAAAGGCCAUUAAUGCAACUGAUUAUCAUUGACAUUUUUUAAUUUAGCUGAUGCUUUUCUUCAAAGUGACUUAGACUGUUGCGGUAAUUGCAAUUAUUUAAUUAUUUAUACAGCUUAGGAAUUUCUGCUGUGUCACUUUAGAGUAAGUACCUUUCUCAAGGGUACUACAACAGGAGGCAGGAUUCAAACCUGCAACCUCCAAGUCCUAAGGAGGCAGCUCUCACCAUUGCACCACUUUGUGGCCCGCUUGUUAUAAAAAACAGUUGACGAUCAGGAAUGUUUCUAUGUUAUAUGCCCACUAAUACAAGAGGACAUUUGAAAACAAAGGAAAGAGUACGCCUGGUGUGUUACCUGCUCAUUUCUCCUUGUUUCCCCUCAGUGCCCCAGGAUAGGUGUCCGCAGGAUGAGGUUCGCUGCACCAAUGGGGUGUGUGUGGACCCGAGUGCAGUGUGUGACUUCAGCGAUGACUGUGGGGACCGCAGUGACGAGACGGACUGCGAGCUCCGGGGCUUCCUGAACCGCUGCAGUUUUGAGCACGGCCUAUGUUCCUGGCAGCAGAGCGACCUAGACACACCGGGGGCAGAGUGGAUCCGGCAAAGUGCCGAAACUACCCUGUCCGAAUACGCACCACCAAGAGACCACACUCGAAACUCAGCAGCCGGUACAGCCUUUGCUCCCACCUAUAUCAUGACACCAUGUCAUCUGACUAUUCCUUAA